UUAUUUUAGCGGCGGACGGGUGAGUAACGUGUGGGCAACCUACCUUUUUACUGUGGAAUAAUCGUUGGAAACGACGACUAAUACCGCAUACGGUUCUUGGAAGGCAUCUUCUAAGAAAGAAAGGAGUAAUUCGGUAAAAGAUGGGCCCGCAUCUGAUUAGCUAGUUGGUGAGAUAAUAGCCCACCAAGGCAACGAUCAGUAGCCGACCUGAGAGGGUGACCGGCCACAUUGGGACUGAGACACGGCCCAAACUCCUACGGAAGGCAGCAG
RNAcentral lists this ribosomal RNA (270 nucleotides) under uncultured bacterium. Its description in RNAcentral is "partial 16S ribosomal RNA". It matches the Rfam family "Bacterial small subunit ribosomal RNA", at positions 87 to 354 of the family's 1533-position model. The record is from RNAcentral.